GGGACAGAAAAAUGAGUUAACAACAUGAGGUGAGCACUUACAAUAUAAUACUCAGCAGAUUAAAAAAAGGAAGGACAUUCAGACAUGCUGCUGUACAGAUAAACGUGGAGAACAUUAUUCUCAGUGAAAUCCAUCAAUUAAAAAAGGAUCAAUGGUUGUGACAUACUGACAGUUAAAACCAACCAGCCAUCUAGUGGGUGCCUCUGAGAUGGAGCAGGAGGGCUCACCAAAGAUUCCUGCUAAACACUGACUGCUUUCAGAAAGUGGUUUCCACCAAUGGCCAGUUUCAGAAAGCUCUCUCCCCCACAUACAGGGGUAAGGAGCAAUAGUAAGCACCUCCAUCACUAUUUUUGUGAGCCUCAUGCAGAAAGACAGCAAGGUUCAUGAGCAUUAAGUCUGUGUCAAGUGAAAAACCAUAUGUGGACAGAAAGAACUGACAAGGUGUGCAGGCAUCCUGGGAUCCUGUGCACCACUGAGAAUGUAUCAGGAAGAAGACUCUGCAGUUGCCUGCUUGCCUUGGUUUCCUUGGACUUUAUGAUUGCUGUCACACAAUAGACAGGAAAUAGAAAAACUUAGGGAAAAGGGUCAAAUGCCACUGGGCUAAGACCUGGAAACAGUUACUGUUGCAGGUGCUGGAGGCUGAUCAGGGAACACCUGGUUGUGUGUGUGUGUGUGUGUGUGUGUGUGUGUGUGUGUGUGUGUGUGUGUGUGUAGGGGGGGAUUAGGUUCUCUGAGGUCACAUACUAACAACUCAUUUUAAAAUUUAUGUUGCAUAUGCAUUGCUGUGCAUUUGAAAAAUCUGUUCUUAGCAUGUCAAAAUUGCGAUUUUGUUCUAUUUUUGCUUUUGCUAAAAAUCCUUUAAAUAGGUUGGCAUUAGAAUAGUAAUAAAAAUAAAAGUAACAUGAAAGGAC
Rattus norvegicus (Norway rat) is the source of this 911-nucleotide long non-coding RNA. RefSeq lists it as uncharacterized. Lineage: Eukaryota; Metazoa; Chordata; Mammalia; Rodentia; Muridae. The record is from RefSeq and is a predicted model, not a curated record.